UUAGAUAAAUUUAGAGACGGUUUCUUUUGAAACCGUUUGCUAACACUUUUUUUAAAAAAAAAACAAAACCAUUGAUGGAAUUUUCAAAACAAAACCCAUGGCUUUUCAAAACCAUCAUGUUCCUCUCUUAGAGCUCUCUCUCUCUCUCUCUCUCUCUCGUUCUUCUUCUUCCUCUUUCUGGUCGGCGAUUGAAGACGGGCGACGGGAUCUGGAUGGUCGGCGAGAUCAGGACGACUGCUUGGCUGACCUUGAAGCUGCCCUGGCUUGACGACGACUUGGACGACGGGAACGAGGCAAUGGCUUCUCUCUCUCUCUCUCUCUCUCUCUCUCUCUCUCUUGUUUGACAGAUUUGGCCGAAACCCACGCUCGGCCGGAUCUCUGGCUGGAAUACAGAGAGAUCCAGGCGCCGGAACUUUUUUUUUUUUUUUGGGCUGGAUACUUGAUGGUUUUGAGAAAAAGAACAAGAAGGAUUUUUGUGAGGAAUUUUUGUGCAGAAGGCUCGGUGUGGGUUUGUGAAUGAUUUUUAUGUCCUCAGUGUUUCGAUAGAGAAGAAGGAUGCCAGAGGAAGAAGAGGUGGCGGGGGGCCGAAGAAAAAGUCUGCAAUUGCGGACGGUUUGGCCCAAACCGUCUGUAACCCGAAUUAGCGAAUCAUUGUUCUGGAUAGUCUGAAACCGUCCAGAAAAAAAUCGUCUGUACCGUUUUCCAGACGGUUCUUUUUCAAUUUCUGGACAGUUUGAAACCGUCCAGAAUUGCUUAUUUUUUUGUAGUGAUAUAUAAAAGUGUUAGAACAGAUUUCGGUUUGGUAACUUGUUAAUCUGCGAGAGCCUGCCUCCUAACCUGUAAAAGAGAAAACUGCAUCGGGGAAACUCGACAAUCCCACUCCGAUGCUUAAGUCAAUAUUAUCUCAAGCGUAUAUCUCUUUUGUAUCACAGAGAGCAAUCAAAUUGUACCUGCGUAGUUGUGUGGUAUUUA
Alnus glutinosa is the source of this 972-nucleotide long non-coding RNA. RefSeq lists it as uncharacterized. Lineage: Eukaryota; Viridiplantae; Streptophyta; Magnoliopsida; Fagales; Betulaceae. The transcript has 2 exons. The record is from RefSeq and is a predicted model, not a curated record.